RNAcentral lists this long non-coding RNA (743 nucleotides) under Ananas comosus (pineapple). RNAcentral's name for it is "long non-coding RNA (ACOM_LNC002004)". Lineage: Eukaryota; Viridiplantae; Streptophyta; Magnoliopsida; Poales; Bromeliaceae. The record is from RNAcentral.
AACUGAACAACAACAAUACAUUUAUAAAACCUAUUAUAUUUGGUUUAGAUUUGUAGUUAUCUAAAUUGGAGUUAAAUCCUAAUCUAUUUGGGAUUGGAUAUAAUUUAGAUUUAAUUUGGCAUAUAUGGAUUAUGAGUCGGAAUCUAAUUUCUAAUUGAAUUAGGAUUAGACUCUACUUAGGAGACAUGUAUUAUAAAUACAUGCUACGGCCAAAUUAAUCGCCGCGACCAAAUUAAGAUGCCACGUUCUAAUUAAGCAAGCAAUGCAUGUUGGUUCCGGACGAUCAAGAAGCCGCCGCGAAAAAAUUAAGAAGCCUUCCCAUGCUAAUUCCGUACGGCUCUAAUUAAGGGUUGCAUAUUGGAGAGAGCCAAGCUGCCGCGACCAAAUUAAAAACCCAUGCCAAUUCUGUACGGCUUUGGGUCUUGAGAGAAGCUUGUGCGCUAAUUAGCCCUAUGCGCUAAUUAAGGCCAAUGGGUGGUCCGUACCGAUUGAAGAGAGAAGCCACUUUCGGAGUUUGCUUUGUUGCGACAUUUCGGAUCUAAUUAAGCUUUGGUCUUUUGAGAGAUCUUCUUUGUACUCCGCUUUUUUUUUGACAUUAAUAAAGUAUUUGCUCCGUCUUCGCCUAUGGACGUAGGCCAUUGGCCGAACCACGUAAUUAUCGGUGUGUUCUUUCCUUAUCUUUUCUUUUCUUGCAUUAAAUUAUUUUCUGGAUCUAUUUUUCGCCAUUCCGAUUUUAACAAANN